Molecule: ribosomal RNA, 1564 nt
Filed under: Enterococcus hirae ATCC 9790
Lineage: Bacteria; Bacillati; Bacillota; Bacilli; Lactobacillales; Enterococcaceae
Description: 16S ribosomal RNA
Rfam family: Bacterial small subunit ribosomal RNA
Source: RNAcentral
CUUUUUAUGAGAGUUUGAUCCUGGCUCAGGACGAACGCUGGCGGCGUGCCUAAUACAUGCAAGUCGAACGCUUCUUUUUCCACCGGAGCUUGCUCCACCGGAAAAAGAGGAGUGGCGAACGGGUGAGUAACACGUGGGUAACCUGCCCAUCAGAAGGGGAUAACACUUGGAAACAGGUGCUAAUACCGUAUAACAAUCGAAACCGCAUGGUUUUGAUUUGAAAGGCGCUUUCGGGUGUCGCUGAUGGAUGGACCCGCGGUGCAUUAGCUAGUUGGUGAGGUAACGGCUCACCAAGGCGACGAUGCAUAGCCGACCUGAGAGGGUGAUCGGCCACAUUGGGACUGAGACACGGCCCAAACUCCUACGGGAGGCAGCAGUAGGGAAUCUUCGGCAAUGGACGAAAGUCUGACCGAGCAACGCCGCGUGAGUGAAGAAGGUUUUCGGAUCGUAAAACUCUGUUGUUAGAGAAGAACAAGGAUGAGAGUAACUGUUCAUCCCUUGACGGUAUCUAACCAGAAAGCCACGGCUAACUACGUGCCAGCAGCCGCGGUAAUACGUAGGUGGCAAGCGUUGUCCGGAUUUAUUGGGCGUAAAGCGAGCGCAGGCGGUUUCUUAAGUCUGAUGUGAAAGCCCCCGGCUCAACCGGGGAGGGUCAUUGGAAACUGGGAGACUUGAGUGCAGAAGAGGAGAGUGGAAUUCCAUGUGUAGCGGUGAAAUGCGUAGAUAUAUGGAGGAACACCAGUGGCGAAGGCGGCUCUCUGGUCUGUAACUGACGCUGAGGCUCGAAAGCGUGGGGAGCAAACAGGAUUAGAUACCCUGGUAGUCCACGCCGUAAACGAUGAGUGCUAAGUGUUGGAGGGUUUCCGCCCUUCAGUGCUGCAGCUAACGCAUUAAGCACUCCGCCUGGGGAGUACGACCGCAAGGUUGAAACUCAAAGGAAUUGACGGGGGCCCGCACAAGCGGUGGAGCAUGUGGUUUAAUUCGAAGCAACGCGAAGAACCUUACCAGGUCUUGACAUCCUUUGACCACUCUAGAGAUAGAGCUUCCCCUUCGGGGGCAAAGUGACAGGUGGUGCAUGGUUGUCGUCAGCUCGUGUCGUGAGAUGUUGGGUUAAGUCCCGCAACGAGCGCAACCCUUAUUGUUAGUUGCCAUCAUUUAGUUGGGCACUCUAGCAAGACUGCCGGUGACAAACCGGAGGAAGGUGGGGAUGACGUCAAAUCAUCAUGCCCCUUAUGACCUGGGCUACACACGUGCUACAAUGGGAAGUACAACGAGUCGCAAAGUCGCGAGGCUAAGCUAAUCUCUUAAAGCUUCUCUCAGUUCGGAUUGUAGGCUGCAACUCGCCUACAUGAAGCCGGAAUCGCUAGUAAUCGCGGAUCAGCACGCCGCGGUGAAUACGUUCCCGGGCCUUGUACACACCGCCCGUCACACCACGAGAGUUUGUAACACCCGAAGUCGGUGAGGUAACCUUUUGGAGCCAGCCGCCUAAGGUGGGAUAGAUGAUUGGGGUGAAGUCGUAACAAGGUAGCCGUAUCGGAAGGUGCGGCUGGAUCACCUCCUUUCU